GACGAACGCUGGCGGCGUGCCUAACACAUGCAAGUCGAACGGAAAGGCCCUGCUUUUGUGGGGUGCUCGAGUGGCGAACGAGUGAGUAACACGUGAGUAACCUGCCCUUGACUUUGGGAUAACUUCAGGAAACUGGGGCUAAUACCGGAUAGGAGCUCCUGCUGCAUGGUGGGGGUUGGAAAGUUUCGGCGGUUGGGGAUGGACUCGCGGCUUAUCAGCUUGUUGGUGGGGUAGUGGCUUACCAAGGCUUUGACGGGUAGCCGGCCUGAGAGGGUGACCGGCCACAUUGGGACUGAGAUACGGCCCAGACUCCUACGGGAGGCAGCAGUGGGGAAUAUUGCACAAUGGGCGGAAGCCUGAUGCAGCAACGCCGCGUGCGGGAUGACGGCCUUCGGGUUGUAAACCGCUUUCGCCUGUGACGAAGCGUGAGUGACGGUAAUGGGUAAAGAAGCACCGGCUAACUACGUG
This 468-nucleotide ribosomal RNA is filed under the name uncultured bacterium. RNAcentral describes it as "partial 16S ribosomal RNA". It matches the Rfam family "Bacterial small subunit ribosomal RNA", at positions 28 to 507 of the family's 1533-position model. The record is from RNAcentral.